Molecule: transfer RNA, 66 nt
Filed under: Lysmata debelius (fire shrimp)
Lineage: Eukaryota; Metazoa; Arthropoda; Malacostraca; Decapoda; Hippolytidae
Description: tRNA-Pro
Rfam family: tRNA
About the family: Transfer RNA (tRNA) molecules are approximately 80 nucleotides in length. Their secondary structure includes four short double-helical elements and three loops (D, anti-codon, and T loops). Further hydrogen bonds mediate the characteristic L-shaped molecular structure. tRNAs have two regions of fundamental functional importance: the anti-codon, which is responsible for specific mRNA codon recognition, and the 3' end, to which the tRNAs corresponding amino acid is attached (by aminoacyl-tRNA synthetases). tRNAs cope with the degeneracy of the genetic code in two manners: having more than one tRNA (with a specific anti-codon) for a particular amino acid; and 'wobble' base-pairing, i.e. permitting non-standard base-pairing at the 3rd anti-codon position.
Source: RNAcentral
CAGAAAAUAGUUUAAAAAGUAAAAUAAUAGCAUUGGAAGUUAUUGAUGGAAGUUUUCCUUUUCUGA